UACGUAGGGGGCAAGCGUUGUCCGGAUUUAUUGGGCGUAAAGAGCGUGUAGGCGGUUUGGUAGGUCCGUUGUGAAAACUCGAGGCUCAACCUCGAGACGCCGAUGGAAACCAUCAGACUAGAGUCCGGAAGAGGAGAGUGGAAUUCCUGGUGUAGCGGUGAAAUGCGCAGAUAUCAGGAGGAACACCGGUGGCGAAGGCGGGUCUCUGGGC
RNAcentral lists this ribosomal RNA (211 nucleotides) under uncultured bacterium. RNAcentral's name for it is "partial 16S ribosomal RNA". It matches the Rfam family "Bacterial small subunit ribosomal RNA", at positions 524 to 734 of the family's 1533-position model. The record is from RNAcentral.